UUAUAACUUCUUGUUUCAUAUCCAUCCUUACCCUUUCCCCUUUAGAUCUUGCUCUUUUCCUAGUAUAAGUCGAGGACUAAAGAACUCAUCAAGUACCUAAGUGGCAGACUUCAUUGUAUUGCCUUUUAUGUAGGAAGCGUUAUGUUUAACUUUCCUUUAUUGGAGUUGUAGCUAAGACUCUUAACUAUUAGGAAGUUUAUGAUACUAUAUCUUGUGAACUAUGAUGAAGCUCGAUGCAUUUUAUUGCACGGCAUCUUGAAGACUAUGAGACAGGGUUCUAUUAAACUUUACUGUUCUAUUUGAUGGUGCUCUGCUAACUGCAUCUCUCCUCCUGUUACUAAUCAUUUUCAUUUUUACUGUGGUUUAUUGUAAUGACUCUAUCGCCUUCAUUGAAAGCAAUGAGCAGGUCUUGUGGAAGAAGUUUAUUUUCAUUCAGUGGUUCGAUUUUUUGUAUAUUUAGCAUAGUGAUUAGUAUUGAGAUGAUUGUAACUUUCCUGUAACUUUAAGGAGGAUGUUUGUGCUUCAGGACAGGAAGAUCUUGUUAUUUGGUGAAAAAUACCUGCAUGAAUAUUUACCUGAUUUUUAUUUUGUGUUGCAGUUCGAAAAGGGAGGCUUUAAUCAAUUCUAUUGUUUCAUUUAUUUCUACUUUUGUGCUUCUAUUAUGGUUUCUGUACAUCAGUUCCUAAAAUGAUGUUGCUUUUGCAGGAGCUUGAAGUGUAUGCCACUCGAGAGAGUUCAAAUAUAGUUUGAUGUCUUGAUGAAUGAUUCUAUAGUGCAAUGUGUUCUGGAUUUUUGGAAACCUUCAUUAAUAGACUCUUGGUUUCUCUUCGUGCAGGAAAUGAGUCGCUCCUCCAGCAGUUGCAGCUCAGGGACAGCAGCAGAAAUGCCAUUACCUACUCGUAACUAUCCAGUUCAUGGGGUGGAUCAAGGGCUGGAACAAACUGAUAGAGGCCAUUCAUUUCCAGGCCUUACUCUGAACAUUCCGUAUUUUUGUGGCAAGCGUUGAGGAACUGAGCCAUGAAUGCAUAUUUCCAGCAUUCGGGGAUCAUAAAACCUACUGGUCUGAGCUUUCCUCUUUAAGAUUGUCUUGCCCUUUGAUUCACGCCCUAUGAAGAAGCAUGGUAUUUUUUGGUAGGUGGAUCGUAGAUUUUAUCCGCAGAACGGGGGACAGAUUGUGAAUUGUGAUAAAGACCAGCUUGCAACAUGUUGUUCUGCCCAACCCAACAUUUUAGAUAUCCUAGCACUACUAGUUUGAUUAUGAAUAUCUAUUCAAAGAAAAAAGCAUAAUCAUCUCCAGUACUGAGUAUCUUGGACUUUGUCGUGCACGUGCCGGAGCUGAUGCUCGUGACCGUUAUCGGGCCAUGUGAUUGGUGGUGAAGUGCAUCUUUCUUCACCGUUGUAAUAUAAAAACUUGUAGUACAGUUUUUUGUCAGAUUAGUUUAAUAUGGACUUGGUAAAACAAUUUUUAAUGUAGUUUGUAGACUGACAUAUUUUUGGAAGUCAUUGUUUAUAUUUUUGGUGGUUUAGUUUAAUGCUGCCCCUCCUCAUCCAUUGUUAGGUGGGAUUUGUUGUAUGUUAUAGUAUUUGAUCUUUUUUGGUAUCAAAAUGAUUUAGCUUUCUAGAA
Long non-coding RNA from Salvia splendens (bonfire salvia), 1624 nucleotides. RefSeq lists it as uncharacterized. The record is from RefSeq and is a predicted model, not a curated record. NCBI's taxonomy places the organism in Eukaryota, Viridiplantae, Streptophyta, Magnoliopsida, Lamiales, Lamiaceae. The transcript has 2 exons.